Molecule: ribosomal RNA, 496 nt
Filed under: uncultured bacterium
Lineage: Bacteria
Description: partial 16S ribosomal RNA
Rfam family: Bacterial small subunit ribosomal RNA
Source: RNAcentral
AUUGAACGCUGGCGGAAUGCUUUACACAUGCAAGUCGAACGGUAGAGGGGGCAACCCCUCGAGAGUGGCGAACGGGUGAGUAAUAUAUCGGAACGUGCCCAGCCGUGGGGGAUAACGUAGCGAAAGUUACGCUAAUACCGCAUACGAUCUAAGGAUGAAAGCGGGGGAUCGCAAGACCUCGCGCGAUUGGAGCGGCCGAUAUCAGAUUAGGUAGUUGGUGGGGUAAAGGCUCACCAAGCCAACGAUCUGUAGCUGGUCUGAGAGGACGACCAGCCACACUGGAACUGAGACACAGUCCAGACUCCUACGGGAGGCAGCAGUGGGGAAUUUUGGACAAUGGACGCAAGUCUGAUCCAGCCAUUCCGCGUGCAGGAUGAAGGCCCUCGGGUCGUAAACUGCUUUUGUACGGAACGAAAAGGUCUCUCUUAAUACGGGGGACUCAUGACGGUACCGUAAGAAUAAGCACCGGCUAACUACGUGCCAGCCGCCGCAGUAA